Molecule: long non-coding RNA, 636 nt
Filed under: Equus asinus (donkey)
Lineage: Eukaryota; Metazoa; Chordata; Mammalia; Perissodactyla; Equidae
Description: lncRNA (ENSEASG00005029476.1)
Source: RNAcentral
GUCCCCUUCAGGUCCCAGUAGAGAUGAGAACCAGGAAAGACCAAGGGAUUUGCCCUCAGGAAGUUAGAAACUGAUAAUUGCAAAACUCAGAAUGGAGAUCACAGGAAACUACACAAGGUAUUAAUGAGAACUGAAUUCACCUCUUGAAAACGUACACAUGUGAGGGUUGGAGGACUUUUCUACAGCCCAUUUGGCUCCAGACAUUUCAAACAUUGUUUCUCCUUCAUUACCCACAUACUUCAAUGCCAGGUGCAGUAGGACAUGUUUAUAUGAUGAUACAGCUUUUGACCCUGGACGUUUUCUCACGUGGUUUCAGGAAGUUGGCAUGGCAGGCAAUAGAAUUAUUCCUGGAAGCCAUUCCUACACCCGAACAGCUAGCAAUAAUUUAACUGUACAUGAAUGCUUGUGACCCAUAUAGAUCGCAAAAACUCAAACUAAAUGCAUUCCCAACUCAUUUUUCCUUGGUUGCAGCAUCAAAAGCCUGUGGCCACUCCAAUACCAGCCUUCCCCCCGCACCCCCAAAACGAGGAGAAGAGUGACAGAAAGUUGAAGUGAAAAGAGGCAACAGCUUUAACCAAUUGCAGUCAAAACAUCUUACUUUGGAAAUUUUAUGAAAAUAGAUAAAUUUGAAUUACA